RNAcentral lists this transfer RNA (57 nucleotides) under Gongylonema pulchrum. It matches the Rfam family "tRNA", at positions 9 to 63 of the family's 71-position model. Rfam says of the family: Transfer RNA (tRNA) molecules are approximately 80 nucleotides in length. Their secondary structure includes four short double-helical elements and three loops (D, anti-codon, and T loops). Further hydrogen bonds mediate the characteristic L-shaped molecular structure. tRNAs have two regions of fundamental functional importance: the anti-codon, which is responsible for specific mRNA codon recognition, and the 3' end, to which the tRNAs corresponding amino acid is attached (by aminoacyl-tRNA synthetases). tRNAs cope with the degeneracy of the genetic code in two manners: having more than one tRNA (with a specific anti-codon) for a particular amino acid; and 'wobble' base-pairing, i.e. permitting non-standard base-pairing at the 3rd anti-codon position. The record is from Rfam by way of RNAcentral. Lineage: Eukaryota; Metazoa; Nematoda; Chromadorea; Rhabditida; Gongylonematidae.
GGUGUAGUGGUUAUCACGUCUGCUUCACACGCAGAAGGCCGCCGGUUCGAGCCCGGC